GUGAGGAAUAUUGGUCAAUGGGCGAGAGCCUGAACCAGCCAAAUCGCGUGAAGGAUGAAGGUAUUAUGUAUUGUAAACUUCUUUUAUCGGGGAAUAAAGUGCGGGACGUGUCCCGUUUUGUAUGUACCCGAAGAAUAAGGAUCGGCUAACUCCGUGCCAGCAGCCGCGGUAAUACGGAGGAUCCAAGCGUUAUCCGGAUUUAUUGGGUUUAAAGGGUGCGUAGGCGGACUGUCAAGUCAGCGGUGAAAGUCCAUGGCUCAACCAUGGAAUUGCCGUUGAAACUGUCGGUCUUGAGUGUAGAUGAGGUAAGCGGAAUUCGUAGUGUAGCGGUGAAAUGCUUAGAUAUUACGAAGAACUCCAAUUGCGUAGGCAGCUUACCAGGCUACAACUGACGCUGAGGCACGAAGGUGCGGGGAUCAAACAGGAUUAGAUACCCUAGUAGUCC
RNAcentral lists this ribosomal RNA (445 nucleotides) under uncultured bacterium. RNAcentral's name for it is "partial 16S ribosomal RNA". It matches the Rfam family "Bacterial small subunit ribosomal RNA", at positions 354 to 796 of the family's 1533-position model. The record is from RNAcentral.